Molecule: ribosomal RNA, 254 nt
Filed under: uncultured bacterium
Lineage: Bacteria
Description: partial 16S ribosomal RNA
Rfam family: Bacterial small subunit ribosomal RNA
Source: RNAcentral
UACGGAGGGAGCAAGCGUUGUUCGGAUUUACUGGGCGUAAAGGGCGGGUAGGCGGCCACCGCAAGUCAGUUGUGAAAUCUCCGGGCUUAACCCGGAAAGGUCAACUGAUACUGCGGGGCUAGAGUGCAGAAGGGGCAACUGGAAUUCUCGGUGUAGCGGUGAAAUGCGUAGAUAUCGAGAGGAACACCUGCGGCGAAGGCGGGUUGCUGGGCUGACACUGACGCUGAACUGCGAAAGCUAGGGGAGCGAACGGG